Molecule: ribosomal RNA, 462 nt
Filed under: uncultured bacterium
Lineage: Bacteria
Description: partial 16S ribosomal RNA
Rfam family: Bacterial small subunit ribosomal RNA
Source: RNAcentral
CCUACGGGAGGCAGCAGUGAGGAAUAUUGGUCAAUGGGCUUACGCCUGAACCAGCCAAGUCGCGUGAGGGAAGACUGCCCUAUGGGUUGUAAACCUCUUUUGUCAGGGAGCAACGCCGGCUACGUGUAGCCGGACUGAGAGUACCUGAAGAAAAAGCAUCGGCUAACUCCGUGCCAGAAGCCGCGGUAAUACGGAGGGUGCGAGCGUUAUCCGGAUUUAUUGGGUUUAAAGGGUGCGUAGGCGGGAUGCCAAGUCAGCGGUAAAAUCGCGGGGGUCAACGGGGUGAAGUGCCAUUGAUACUGGCUUGCUGGAAUGCGUAUGCGGUGGGAGGAAGGUGUGGUGUAGCGGUGAAAUGCAUAGAUAUCACGCAGAACACCGAUUGCGAAGGCAUCUCACGAAUCCGCGAUUGACGCUGAUGCACGAAAGCGUGGGUAUCAAACAGGAUUAGAUACCCCUGUAGUC